UUACUGAGGCAGGCUUGAAAGAGCUUUCAGAAUAUGUUCGGAAUCAGCAAACCAUCGGAGCUCGUAAGGAGCUCCAGAAAGAACUUCAAGAACAGAUGUCCCGUGGUGAUCCAUUUAAGGAUAUAAUUUUAUAUGUCAAGGAGGAGAUGAAAAAAAACAACAUCCCAGAGCCAGUUGUCAUCGGAAUAGUCUGGUCAAGUGUAAUGAGCACUGUGGAAUGGAACAAAAAAGAGGAGCUUGUAGCAGAGCAAGCCAUCAAGCACUUGAAGGUAUUAGAACUAUGCCUUGACGAAACAAACUAUUCUACUUUUACAUGGUGAUAAGUGAACUGUGACUAUGCUUUUCCAAGAGGAUUUAUCACAUCCUGUGGUUCCUGGGGAUGGCCCACCAGUAAAUAGACAAAUAGAAACAUUAACUAUCGAUGAUAAUGCUCUGAAUUGGGCUGUGCUUCACAGGUUAAAAACAGGAAUAUGGCCUGGCCAGGCACAAUGG
RNAcentral lists this small RNA (492 nucleotides) under Pongo abelii (Sumatran orangutan). Its description in RNAcentral is "retained intron". Lineage: Eukaryota; Metazoa; Chordata; Mammalia; Primates; Hominidae. The record is from RNAcentral.